GAAGUGGAGGCUUCAGAGGUCACGCCAUCCAGAGCCCGUAUUCAGAAGGAGGGAGACUGGUGCUCAGGGAGACAAGUGGUGGGAUUCAGGGUCCCCCCCAGGGGACCCAGACCCUGGAAUCUUGCAGGCGGCGAGUGCCUUGGCGUUAUCCAUGGUACCUCCAACUAGAUUCUCUGGUGUCCUUGAGCUGCUUCCAACGGCAGAAGAUAGAAAUCUUCAUGUUGCAACAACUGUAUAUCCUGGAGCAAAUCCUACUCGAAAUACACCUGCCAGGAUUUUGAUUGGGAUUGCACCAAAUCUGGAUCAACCUGGAGACCAUCGGCGUCUUCACAACACUGAGCAGUCCAAACAAUGAACAUGGUAGGGCUCACCAUUUCUGAGUCUUUAUUGACUUUGAGCGCCGUUUCCAAGUUUUCUGAAUGCCUCAGAAUAACUUUGUUUUGCCUUUACUCAUAGACUUGUUUUGUUGAACAUAGAUUUCUAGGUUCAAGGUGAUCCUUUCUCAGAACUUUAAAGAUAUUGCUUCAUUAUUACCUGACAUCUUAGCACUUAGUGUCAGAAACAAGACAUCUAGGGGUGCCUGGGUGGCUCAGUUGGUUAUGUGUCCAACCCUUGA
Canis lupus familiaris (dog) is the source of this 616-nucleotide long non-coding RNA. RefSeq lists it as uncharacterized. The record is from RefSeq and is a predicted model, not a curated record. The transcript is spliced from 3 exons. NCBI's taxonomy places the organism in Eukaryota, Metazoa, Chordata, Mammalia, Carnivora, Canidae.